UAGGUAGUUUCAUGUUGUUGGGAGGUCGACAAUGUUCGACAGCAAGAAACUGCCUUGA
Molecule: microRNA precursor, 58 nt
Filed under: Eptatretus burgeri (inshore hagfish)
Lineage: Eukaryota; Metazoa; Chordata; Myxini; Myxiniformes; Myxinidae
Description: Ebu-Mir-196-P5_pre stem-loop
Source: RNAcentral